AGUGAACGCUGGCGGUAGGCCUAACACAUGCAAGUCGAACGGCAGCACAGUAAGAGCUUGCUCUUACGGGUGGCGAGUGGCGGACGGGUGAGGAAUACAUCGGAAUCUACUUUUUCGUGGGGGAUAACGUAGGGAAACUUACGCUAAUACCGCAUACGACCUACGGGUGAAAGCAGGGGAUCUUCGGACCUUGCGCGAUUGAAUGAGCCGAUGUCGGAUUAGCUAGUUGGCGGGGUAAAGGCCCACCAAGGCGACGAUCCGUAGCUGGUCUGAGAGGAUGAUCAGCCACACUGGAACUGAGGCACGGUCCAGACUACUACGGGAGGCAGCAGUGGGGAAUAUUGGACAAGGGGCGCAAGCCUGAUCCAGCCAUACCGCGUGGGUGAAGAAGGCCUUCGGGUUGUAAAGCCCUUUUGUUGGGAAAGAAAAGCAGCAGGUUAAUACCCCGAUGUUCUGACGGUACCCAAAGAAUAAGCACCGGCUAACUUCG
RNAcentral lists this ribosomal RNA (490 nucleotides) under uncultured bacterium. RNAcentral describes it as "partial 16S ribosomal RNA". It matches the Rfam family "Bacterial small subunit ribosomal RNA", at positions 29 to 505 of the family's 1533-position model. The record is from RNAcentral.